UGGUCAUUACCCAGGCUGUGAGCAUGCAGUGUUCAGAGGAGCCGUGGCCAUGACCACAGAAAAUUUCCGUAGGUUUUUGUCUUGUUGCUACCUUGCUAGGGACAAACAAUUGGGGACAUCA
RNAcentral lists this small nucleolar RNA (121 nucleotides) under Echinops telfairi (small Madagascar hedgehog). Its description in RNAcentral is "Small nucleolar RNA SNORA32 (ENSETEG00000024436.1)". The record is from RNAcentral. Lineage: Eukaryota; Metazoa; Chordata; Mammalia; Afrosoricida; Tenrecidae.